UACGUAGGUGGCAAGCGUUGUCCGGAUUCAUUGGGUUUAAAGGGUGCGUAGGCGGCCCUGUAAGUCAGUAGUGAAAUAUCACAGCUUAACUGUGAGGGUGCUAUUGAUACUGCGGGGCUUGAGUACAGACGAGGUAGGCGGAAUUGACGGUGUAGCGGUGAAAUGCUUAGAUAUCGUCAAGAACACCGAUAGUGUAGACAGCUUACUAGGCUGUAACUGACGCUGAGGCACGAAAGUGUGGGGAUCAAACAGGAUUAGAUACCCCCGUAGUCC
Molecule: ribosomal RNA, 273 nt
Filed under: uncultured bacterium
Lineage: Bacteria
Description: partial 16S ribosomal RNA
Rfam family: Bacterial small subunit ribosomal RNA
Source: RNAcentral